This 255-nucleotide ribosomal RNA is filed under the name uncultured bacterium. RNAcentral describes it as "partial 16S ribosomal RNA". It matches the Rfam family "Bacterial small subunit ribosomal RNA", at positions 29 to 281 of the family's 1533-position model. The record is from RNAcentral.
AUUAACGCUAGCGGCAGGCAUAAUACAUGCAAGUUGAACGGCAGCACAGGUAGCAAUACUGGGUGGCGAGUGGCGCACGGGUGCGUAACACGUAUGCAACCUACCCUAUACAGGCGAAUAACCUUUAGAAAUGAGGGCUAAUACGCCGUAGUAUUACAGAUGGGCAUCUAUUUGUAAUUAAAGAUUUAUCGGUAUAGGAUGGGCAUGCGUCCCAUUAGUUAGUUGGUAAGGUAACGGCUUACCAAGACGAUGAUG